RNAcentral lists this ribosomal RNA (337 nucleotides) under uncultured eukaryote. RNAcentral's name for it is "partial Bacterial large subunit ribosomal RNA". It matches the Rfam family "Bacterial large subunit ribosomal RNA", at positions 1 to 361 of the family's 2925-position model. The record is from RNAcentral.
CAAAGUAAGGGCGUAUGGGGAAUGCCUAGGCUCUCAGAGGCGAAGAAGGACGUGAUAAGCUGCGAAAAGCUACGGGGAUCGGCACACACGAUAUGAUCCGUAGAUAUCCGAAUGGGGCAACCCAGCAUACUGAAGGUAUGUUAUCCGUAAGGAAGUUAACCCGCUGAACUGAAACAUCUAAGUAGGCGGAGGAAGAGAAAACAAGAGUGAUUCUGCGAGUAGCGGCGAGCGAAAGUGGAACAGCCCAAACCGAAAGUGUUACGGCACUUUCGGGGUUGUAGGACCACGACAUCUGAUGCAUAACGAACCAGAACCAGCCGGAGAGCUGGACCAUAGA